This 337-nucleotide long non-coding RNA is filed under the name Mus spicilegus (steppe mouse). RNAcentral's name for it is "lncRNA (ENSMSIG00000030845.1)". Lineage: Eukaryota; Metazoa; Chordata; Mammalia; Rodentia; Muridae. The record is from RNAcentral.
CCGAGCUCCUGGCUUCCAGACAGCAACUUUAUUCUGUUACAGCGUUCUAGCUGCUGAAACAUCCUUUUGUUGCAGGGCCGAGAUUUUAUCUCUUGUUCUUCGUUUGCCUCUGUGGCCACAGAAGAUUACAGGACAGAUUCACAUACUGAAGAAGUGAUUGAAUGUAUGUGACAAGAGUAAAGACUGCAAUGGAAGUCACCGUUGUCUCCAAGGUCAGUGAAAGAGGAUAUGGCCAGGACAACAACUAAACAAAGGACUUCUCCAGAAGCACUAGAAAUGAACUUUAUGGUCACAUCAAAAUUCAAGAGGAUGAGCAGGAUACAACAGAAGAGACAGG